RNAcentral lists this ribosomal RNA (253 nucleotides) under uncultured bacterium. RNAcentral describes it as "partial 16S ribosomal RNA". It matches the Rfam family "Bacterial small subunit ribosomal RNA", at positions 524 to 776 of the family's 1533-position model. The record is from RNAcentral.
UACGUAGGUGGCUAGCGUUGUCCGGAUUUACUGGGCGUAAAGAGCGCGCAGGCGGUCGUUCAAGUCGAGUGUGAAAGCCCCCGGCUCAACUGGGGAGGGUCACUCGAUACUGAUCGACUUGAAGGCGGGAGAGGGAAGCGGAAUUCCCGGUGUAGUGGUGAAAUGCGUAGAUAUCAGGAGGAACACCGACGGCGAAGGCAGCACUCUGGGCCGGUACUGACGCUGAGGAGCGAAAGCGUGGGGAGCAAACAGG